CUUCAUCUUCCUCUAGAAUGUCAUCAGAUGGAGGGGCCCACAAUUGCAAAAAGUCUGUUGCUGUCAAUAACCUGUUACCUGAAAGGGAGUGAUACCAAAGCUAUGGAAACAGGAUGAUGAAGCAAGGAGUCAUGUAAACAAGCCAAGGACAAACCACAGAAGAAGGGAAGAAUGAAGAACCUGAGAAUUGCAAUGUCCCUAAUCAGGUUAGAAGAAAAUGUGUUUCUUCUCUCAGAAUCCUAAGAUUGCUGGACUUGGACAUCUAAAGUACAUUCAUCUUAAGAGGAAGUUUCUUCUACUCCUCCUCAAGAAAAAAGGGAAAUAGUUCCAAACCUAUUAACUAGUGGGUACAUAUAUAUACGUACCCAACCCAUUAUUCUGCUGUUAAGCAGAGUAUUUUUAACAGCAGUGAUUCAUUUCUGCACACAAAAAAAGCUGUAUUUUCAAGUGCCUGCGAUGAAUCUGUUGUAGCAAUUUUGAACCGUUCUCACGCAUUCUCAACGCCCCAACACCAACCAAAACGUGAGUGGGCACAUGUGCACACAAACAGCAGCUCCUGUGCCACAGCCCUGUGGGUUCCCACAGACACCUAUGGAUUCCUGCAGACAGCUAUGGAUUCCCACAGCGUGCUGUGUCCAUCUCCCUUGCCCUCCUGCCCUCUCCCUGCCCUGCUGGUGCUGUGAGCCAGUGCCUGACAGGUGCUGGGGCUUCAGAGCAGGUCUGCAGAGUCAGGCUCUGUCACCUGAACUGCAAAACCUGCCUCGGGAUCUGAGCUGAAGUCCUGGCUCCAAACAGCUCAGUGGUUUGGGGGCACAAAGCUCUGUCCAGACAGGUGAUGCUGACUGACAGAAUUUGAGGUUAGGCACUAAUGAACUGCCUGCAGUCAAUGGUAGAUUAUGGUUCUACUAAGUCACACGGGUAACCAAUUUCCUAAGAAUCUGGAUAUAAGACCUCAAACUGCCUGUUUGCAGGUAGUUUUUACCUGUACAGUUUACUCUAGGAUCAAGGCCUAAAAGAACAGGAAAUAAUACCAUGAAUACAGAGAAUGAAGAAAAAGCACAGAAGAAAGUUACAGCUAUGGAAGUCCAUAAGAUACAUUUAUUAAAGCAUACUUAUCUCUUUAGCUCCUUGUUUGCUCUAUUACAAAAAAAAUUGGAUACAGCAGCCAGAAAAACAGUGUGAUCUGUUAUUUGUAGUUCCAUAAUUUAAAUCCUACCAAACAAUCCUGCAUCGUUUUGGAAGAUGCUACCUUUGCUCUUGGAAAAUUCUUGUAUAAACCACAAUACACAUUAUAAUUCAUUACUGAUGUUAUCAAAGCUAUGACAAGAAUGGGCAUAAAGUUAUGUUGCAUAAUACUAUUUGAUUGACUUUUCAAAUUGCCAUUGUAAAAAGGAACACAUUAGAAUGUGAAUGUGAGUAAAUGACUUCUUAUAUAAAAAUCAAAAGUAAAAGAGGUCCCUUUAAUAGCAGUAUGGCUGCAUAGCAGCAGAACGAGGAAAAUAAAGACAAACAUGGCACCUUUUA
This is a long non-coding RNA of Melospiza melodia melodia, 1524 nucleotides long. RefSeq lists it as uncharacterized. The transcript is spliced from 2 exons. Lineage: Eukaryota; Metazoa; Chordata; Aves; Passeriformes; Passerellidae. The record is from RefSeq and is a predicted model, not a curated record.